This 300-nucleotide long non-coding RNA is filed under the name Lupinus angustifolius (narrow-leaved blue lupine). Its description in RNAcentral is "long non-coding RNA (LANG_LNC003558)". Lineage: Eukaryota; Viridiplantae; Streptophyta; Magnoliopsida; Fabales; Fabaceae. The record is from RNAcentral.
AGGAUCUGAUGAAAUGGAAGUCCUCCCAGAAGCAAUGCUUUUCAAUCUUCUCAUCAUAUUCAUAUUUGUUGAAUCCAACCCAACAAUUAACUCAAUUUAAACCUUGAAUCCCCUCAAAUCCCACCCACAACAAGAUUAUUGUUAUUAUUUUUUUGUUCACAAACAAGAGAGAAGGGUGUUUUUCUUUCUCUCCCCUCCCCCAGUUUCUGCAAACAAAAAAAUGGAGAAGAAUAUGGAGAGAAAAACACCAUCUUAUGAACUUUUUUCUCUCUAAAUUUUCUCUUUCUUACUCAAAAUUGG